This 142-nucleotide ribosomal RNA is filed under the name uncultured eukaryote. RNAcentral describes it as "partial 18S ribosomal RNA". It matches the Rfam family "Eukaryotic small subunit ribosomal RNA", at positions 1299 to 1458 of the family's 1831-position model. The record is from RNAcentral.
UGGUGGAGUGAUUUGUCUGGUUAAUUCCGUUAACGAACGAGACCCCUGCUUGCUAAAUAGUCAAAUGAGUGAUUUUUCACUGAUUGUGGCUUCUUAGAGGGACGUGCAUUUUAUUAGAUGCAGGAGGAUAGGGGCAAUAACA